This 267-nucleotide ribosomal RNA is filed under the name uncultured soil bacterium. RNAcentral's name for it is "partial 16S ribosomal RNA". It matches the Rfam family "Bacterial small subunit ribosomal RNA", at positions 26 to 281 of the family's 1533-position model. The record is from RNAcentral.
AGAAUCAACGCUGGCGGCGUGCCUAACACAUGCAAGUCGAACGCGGUUACCCCGCAAGGGGUGACUGAGUGGCAAACGGGUGAGUAACGCGUGGGUGACCUACCUUCGAGUGGGGGAUAACGUUUCGAAAGGAACGCUAAUACCGCAUGACAUCCUGCCUUUGGAAAGGCGGAGAUCAAAGCCGGGGAUCGUAAGACCUGGCGCUUGGAGAGGGGCCCGCGUCCGAUUAGCUAGUUGGUGAGGUAACGGCUCACCAAGGCGACGAUC